UACGUAGGGUGCAAGCGUUAAUCGGAAUUACUGGGCGUAAAGCGUGCGCAGGCGGCUUUGCAAGACAGAUGUGAAAUCCCCGGGCUUAACCUGGGAACUGCAUUUGUGACUGCAUGGCUGGAGUGCGGCAGAGGGGGGUGGAAUUCCGCGUGUAGCAGUGAAAUGCGUAGAGAUGCGGAGGAACACCGAUGGCGAAGGCAGCCCCCUGGGCUGACACUGACGCUCAGGCACGAAAGCGUGGGGAGCAAACAGG
RNAcentral lists this ribosomal RNA (253 nucleotides) under uncultured bacterium. Its description in RNAcentral is "partial 16S ribosomal RNA". It matches the Rfam family "Bacterial small subunit ribosomal RNA", at positions 524 to 776 of the family's 1533-position model. The record is from RNAcentral.